AGCAGUGAGGGGCUCAGCUCAACCUGUGUGUUCUCUCAGAUAUUACGGAAGGUUUCGAACAGUAAAACAUUCACCAUGGAGCUGCAACUCUAAUGCAGAAGAGGAAUAAGCAAAAGUGUAGAGGCAGCAGUAAAAUAUCAAGAACUUGUGUAGGAAGGUCAAGAGUCUGUGAACCCCUGUGCACAGGAAAGAGCUAGAAAAUGCGGACAGCGAGAGCAGUCUGUGAGAAAGCCCAUCGGUGUUGUCACUGGAAUCAGCAAUAUCCCUUCUGCUUGCAUUUCCUAGAUGAAGAUAAUAAUUACAGGAGCAAGACUUAUAUACAUGGAUCGUGGUACUACUGGAUCACUAUACAAAAAGUGAGAGGGAGAAAAAAAAUCCUACAUUCUGAAGUGGAAGAACGUAUGUAUGUCCUUGCCCAAUCUCUUUCAAAUUGCUUUUCCUGGUUACAUCCAGAGGCCUUUACCCCCUUGUAAUUCUCUCCAGUAUGCAACCCGGCUGAUCACAUCUAUGAUUGCUAAUCAAAAUCCAGGUACCGUGUGACAUUAUCCCCUGAACUCAUUUUGAAAGAUUAUUUAAAUAUCUGCUUGAUAUUGAUUUACUUCAUCCCUUUAUCCUCCAUUUCAUAGUAUUUGACCCGAAGUCAACUACUCAAUCCCUUCACAGAGGCAUAUGAAUUAUGUAUUUCUUGUAUUCAUCUCUGGUAUAAACAGACGGCAGCUUUGUAUAGUUAUUAAAACAUCCCU
This 743-nucleotide long non-coding RNA is filed under the name Oryctolagus cuniculus (rabbit). RNAcentral describes it as "lncRNA (ENSOCUG00000030763.1)". Lineage: Eukaryota; Metazoa; Chordata; Mammalia; Lagomorpha; Leporidae. The record is from RNAcentral.